RNAcentral lists this long non-coding RNA (557 nucleotides) under Danio rerio (zebrafish). RNAcentral's name for it is "si:dkey-264c3.2 (ENSDARG00000097318.2)". Lineage: Eukaryota; Metazoa; Chordata; Actinopteri; Cypriniformes; Danionidae. The record is from RNAcentral.
AAUGUUCCAAUCGACACAAUCAAUCCGUUUGUGAAAACAAGUUCGAGUUCAGUUGCUCUAAAUGAUUAUACAGAUUUGGAACUUUAGAAGAAAAUAUUUAUUUAAUUAAUCAUGUGUGUACUUCCCCUUUAAGGGGAUGUUGGUUUAAUGACGCUCAGAAAUUCGGAAGUUCUGGGUUUUUGAAAGAAUUAUGCUGCACCUAGCUCUGUAGGUUCAUAUGUCGAUUUGUUAACCUCAUAAGGAUCGUUUGUAAAUACAUGAAGGCCUCCUACAAGCGCGCGGUGCUCGAAGGAAGAUGAUCAUUAACGCUGUAGCGCGUGAUACGAUUUUAAAACAUGAUUAUGGAAGCGCUCGACUAUCUCAAUAUAAUCUCCCACGGUGGAUUGCAGCCUCAGCAGAAAACCAGUGAGAUUCGCACGUCAAGGAAUUUGUGAAUAUGGUUUUGCGAGUUGUCUGGGGAUCUGGGAAAGGAAUGACAGACUCUCAUCAAUCUUCAAGCAGUUUUUUUCAUGGAGACUUGCCAAGUCUUGACAAACAAAGAAGCAAGGUAAAAACAA